CCUUUCGUAGCUUAGCGAUCAGGUUAUUGGUGCGUGAAGCCAAAGGUCCCGGGUUCGACUCCCGGCGAGGGUG
RNAcentral lists this transfer RNA (73 nucleotides) under Agrilus planipennis (emerald ash borer). It matches the Rfam family "tRNA". From Rfam's summary of the family: Transfer RNA (tRNA) molecules are approximately 80 nucleotides in length. Their secondary structure includes four short double-helical elements and three loops (D, anti-codon, and T loops). The record is from Rfam by way of RNAcentral. Lineage: Eukaryota; Metazoa; Arthropoda; Insecta; Coleoptera; Buprestidae.